This 450-nucleotide ribosomal RNA is filed under the name uncultured bacterium. Its description in RNAcentral is "partial 16S ribosomal RNA". It matches the Rfam family "Bacterial small subunit ribosomal RNA", at positions 354 to 796 of the family's 1533-position model. The record is from RNAcentral.
GUGGGGAAUAUUGGACAAUGGGCGAAAGCCUGAUCCAGCCAUGCCGCGUGUGUGAAGAAGGUCUUCGGAUUGUAAAGCACUUUAAGUUGGGAGGAAGGGUAGUAACCUAAUACGUUGCUACUUUGACGUUACCGACAGAAUAAGCACCGGCUAACUUCGUGCCAGCAGCCGCGGUAAUACGAAGGGUGCAAGCGUUAAUCGGAAUUACUGGGCGUAAAGCGCGCGUAGGUGGUUCAGUAAGUUGGAAGUGAAAUCCCCGGGCUCAACCUGGGAACUGCUUUCAAAACUGUUGAGCUAGAGUACGGUAGAGGGUGGUGGAAUUUCCUGUGUAGCGGUGAAAUGCGUAGAUAUAGGAAGGAACACCAGUGGCGAAGGCGACCACCUGGACUGAUACUGACACUGAGGUGCGAAAGCGUGGGGAGCAAACAGGAUUAGAAACCCCAGUAGUCC